This 130-nucleotide unclassified non-coding RNA is filed under the name Rhipicephalus microplus (southern cattle tick). RNAcentral's name for it is "uncharacterized LOC119169716, transcript variant X1". Lineage: Eukaryota; Metazoa; Arthropoda; Arachnida; Ixodida; Ixodidae. The record is from RNAcentral.
AGCUGUGCCGACGCUUCACCUCCCCACAAAAAGUGACCACUGCCUUCCGUCGGUCACUAACAAUGCCGCACAAAUGCUGAAGCCAAUGUAAAAAAGAUGAAAUUGUCAGUGAAAUAUACGACAUUGUAUA